UACGGGGGGGGCAAGCGUUGUUCGGAAUUACUGGGCGUAAAGGGCGCGUAGGCGGGUGGACAAGUCUCUCGUGAAAGCCCACGGCUCAACCAUGGAAUUGCGGGAGAUACUGUCUGUCUUGAGUCCGGGAGAGGAGGGUGGAAUUCCCAGUGUAGCGGUGAAAUGCGUAGAUAUUGGGAGGAACACCGGUGGCGAAGGCGGCUCUCUGGACCGGUACUGACGCUGAGGCGCGAAAGCUAGGGGAGCAAACGGG
This 253-nucleotide ribosomal RNA is filed under the name uncultured bacterium. Its description in RNAcentral is "partial 16S ribosomal RNA". It matches the Rfam family "Bacterial small subunit ribosomal RNA", at positions 524 to 776 of the family's 1533-position model. The record is from RNAcentral.